RNAcentral lists this antisense RNA (75 nucleotides) under Frankia sp. AcoPraII.1. Its description in RNAcentral is "ASpks". It matches the Rfam family "ASpks TB sRNA". Lineage: Bacteria; Bacillati; Actinomycetota; Actinomycetes; Frankiales; Frankiaceae. The record is from RNAcentral.
CUUCACCGAGCCCAGCAGCAGCGGCUCGUCGGCGGGGCGGUCCUGGCCGUAGGUCGCCAGCAGCGCCUCGGCCUC